UUGGUAAUAUAUCGAUAUCUCUGUGUUCUCUUCUGUCUGUGUCGUCAACAUUUGAACAUUUUUGAGCGGUCCGCUCUUUCUGACUGUAAACAAAGCCGUUCUCCACCUCCUGUAACCUGAUUGGUUGUGAGGCAGACGCUGCUCCCCCGUGUCGUUCAGGAGCCCAAACAAAGUUAGCGUGCUACAAUAUCGGACAGUAGAAACCAACCAGAAAGUUCGGAAAAUUGUCUGAAUCCUCCUUUGGCCACGACUGCCGACACAAGUAAGAAAACACUCAAACAUAAACAGUCAGCAAGAAAACAGUCAACAAGAAAACAGUCAGCAAGAAAACAGUCAGCAAGAAAACAGUCAACAAGUAAACAGUCAGCAAGAAAACAGUCAACAAAAAAACAGUCAGCAAGAAAACAGUCAACAAGAAAACAGUCAGCAAGAAAACAGUCAACCAUAAACAGUCAGCAAGAAAACAGUCAACCAUAAACAGUCAGCAAGAAAACAGUCAGCAAGAAAACAGUCAACAAGAAAACAGUCAGCAAGAAAACAGUCAGCAAGAAAACAGUCAACAAGAAAACAGUCAACCAUAAACAGUCAGCAAGAAAACAGUCAACAAGAAAACAGUCAGCAAGAAAACAGUCAACAAGAAAACAGUCAACCAUAAACAGUCAACAAGAAAACAGUCAACAAGAAAACAGUCAGCAAGAAAACAGUCAACAAGAAAACAGUCAACCAUAAACAGUCAGCAAGAAAACAGUCAACAAGAAAACAGUCAACAAGAAAACAGUCAGCAAGAAAACAGUCAGCAAGAAAACAGUCAGCAAGAAAACAGUCAACAAGAAAACAGUCAGCAAGAAAACAGUCAGCAAGAAAACAGUCAACAAGAAAACAGUCAACCAUAAACAGUCAGCAAGAAAACAGUCAACAAGAAAACAGUCAACAAGAAAACAGUCAGCAAGAAAACAGUCAGCAAGAAAACAGUCAACAAGAAAACAGUCAACCAUAAACAGUCAACAAGAAAACAGUCAACAAGAAAACAGUCAACAAGAAAACAGUCAACAAGAAAAUGCUGCUCCCCCGUGUCGUUCAGGAGCCCAAACAAAGUUAGCGUGCUACAAUAUCGGACAGUAGAAACCAACCAGAAAGUUCGGAAAAUUGUCUGAAUCCUCCUUUGGCCACGACUGCCGACACAAGCAAGAAAACAAAGUAAAUACCGGAGACUCUGGAGGAAUAACGGGCGCUUAAAACGGAGGUAGACCGGACAAGAGCUAAAAAGCCGGGUCAACAUAAACGAUGGGGGACGCUUGGGGAUCUUGGUGACCCUGUAACCUUUCUGCUGGACAGGUAAACCGCUUUAACAAAGUAAGACAAGUG
Non-coding RNA from Xyrichtys novacula (pearly razorfish), 1365 nucleotides. Lineage: Eukaryota; Metazoa; Chordata; Actinopteri; Labriformes; Labridae. The record is from the annotation of a GenBank genome assembly.